This is a long non-coding RNA of Nematostella vectensis (starlet sea anemone), 247 nucleotides long. RefSeq lists it as uncharacterized. NCBI's taxonomy places the organism in Eukaryota, Metazoa, Cnidaria, Anthozoa, Actiniaria, Edwardsiidae. The record is from RefSeq and is a predicted model, not a curated record. The transcript has 3 exons.
UUUUGGCGAAGGCGACGGCAGCCGGAAGUGAGUUCAACUUCCGGUCAAGGUUGCCGGGUGAAAUGACUUGCCGUCGUUGCUUCGCGCCGACGUGAGUUUAGCUAUUUUGACGUUGUGUCGAAAACGCCGCACAUGGAAGCGUCAUCAAAGAAACAGCAAGCCAUGGAGUGGACCGACGACCACGACAAUUUGCUACUCCGAGAAAUGGCUGUUAGUGAGCUUUUCAGCUACAAAAAAGGGAGUCUUG